This is a long non-coding RNA of Daucus carota subsp. sativus, 4034 nucleotides long. RefSeq lists it as uncharacterized. NCBI's taxonomy places the organism in Eukaryota, Viridiplantae, Streptophyta, Magnoliopsida, Apiales, Apiaceae. The record is from RefSeq and is a predicted model, not a curated record. The transcript is spliced from 8 exons.
UUAAUUUCCUCCUUUUACAACUGCUGCUGGUACUGGUAUCAUGCUUUGUUUUAUUAUAACUUUGCUGUAAUUUGGUUUUGCAGAUACAUUAUGUUCAGUAGCUGUUAAAAACCCAUGGCCAUGGAUAGUUGGAACUGAAGCUCCCAGACAAGUGCUGCAAUCUGAAGUUGUUAGAUUCGUGCUACAGGCAGCGUGACCAUAGGCGAAAGCAUUUGGACUUAUAGCGAAAAGAUCAACUUUAGUAUAAACUCCAGAAUUGCAAAGUACACUCUUCACUGUAGUUCUUGGAUCACUUCUGGCAACAGUACAUGAGAGCCCCAGUAAUACCAAUCCUCUCAAAGAUAUGUUCGCAUAACCCAUUCUUUCUUUUUCUGUUGUUUAUCACUUCUCGAUAAUAUGUGUGAUAUGUUGGUUUCUUCGCUUGCUUUGACACUAUCAACCAUAUAUUGUCCUUCUAAUUUUUUUUAAUGGUCUUGAAAUUUCUAUGUCUCUUCUGUUGUUUUUUCCUUGUGUAUAUGAUAAUGUGGGCCAAUUCCAUUUCAAUGUGAUUGGAGAACUUCUCUAAAAUCUCAAGGCUGAUAUAAAGAGCUUCCAAGUUAGACUGAAUUAUUCUGUUCUUAGAGAGCUUCCAAGUUAAACUGAAUUAUUCUGUUUUUAAUUUGUUUAUAGGGACUGCAGUAUUUAUGUAUAGUUUUUUUCACUUGCCCUUUUUUAGAGCCUCUGCAAGUUUAGAAAUUUCUUAUUUGUAUGCAGAGCCGUGCCUGAGGGUGUUCCAAGUGUUCAACGGAACAGGGCCCAAAAUUUUGAGGGGCCCAUUUUUUUAGUGCCUUAUACACAUAAUAUAUAGUUUUGGAAAAAAUAAUUAUAAUUUCAUUUCAAAAAAGAAAAGUGCAGAUAGAAUAAAGUUUAAAAAAUAAUAUACGCUAACUAAUUAUCAAUUAUAAUUAUAAGUAAACUUAAAACAUGUUAUGUUAUAUUGAUCUUAAAUAUUAAAAUUAAUCAUAAUAAUUUAAUAUAGACUACUAGUCUUACUUAUUUCAUUAAAAUAUAAUACAACCGUGAACACUAGGGUUUUGUAGACAACUUCUACAUUUUAUCAUUUUUUUGGUAAUUCAAUUCUUAGGUGAUUAAUUUAUUUUAUUUUAUAACUACAUGCAAUGUUUACAUAUUAAAUGAAAAAUAUUAACUUAUAAAAUUACAUUGAUUAAAUUAUAUAUUUAUAUAAAAUUUAAAGAGGUUUACAUAUAAAUAGGUUUAUGUCAUUGUUUUUUUUGUUUAUAAUGAUUACAUCUUAUUAAUUAUGUACUUGUAAUUUAUCUCUUGAUUUUCGAUAUAUUUAAAUUAUAUUAUAAAAGAAGAUAUUUAGUUAAUUUUUGUAUUUUAUUUACUUUAUUAUUUUAUUUUAUUUUAAUUAUAGGGCACUCGUCUAAAAUUUUGUACAGGGCACAUAAAAUCUCAGGCACGGCUCUGUUUGUAUGGUUCGCAUGGUGGUCCCCUUGUAUUGCGUUCUAGUGGAUAUCUUCAUCUCUAGGUAACAAGAGGUUGAAGGUUCGAGUCUCAGUGGAGACAUGUAUAAGUAUGUGGGUGAGGUCGUGUACAUUAUUAUUCUAUAAUAAAGAGGGAACAUUGUUACCAUAAUAGUAACUACGAUUCCAAUUCCACAAGGUUAAAAUAUUAGACUGGAAUCCGGGAUUGAAAUAAUAUUACAAAGUUAAAGAUUUUUUGCACAAAUUUGACUGCUAGGAGAAUAAUAACUUGGCAGUAAAAUUUUGUACUGAUUAUACAUCAAAGUGUCCAUGUAAGUAACAAAUAUACUCACUGUCACCACAUACAACAACUGCAUAAUAGAGUUGCUCACCUCAUAAGUUAUUCAAGUAUCUAUUAUUACGGUCACAGAUGAUGUAUCAUCUCAUGUAUAUCUUUUAAGGCCAUCCUCACUUCUUUCUGUUUUAGGAAAGGAACAGGGAACAAGUGAGGAUAUAUAGUUUCUUCUUACAUAUAUACAGGCUAAUCAUGCCAAAAUUGACUGCCAAGGUUAUAUGUUCAUGCAUAUUAGAGUUUAUAUAUACAGCACCGACUGCAAUUCUUAUUUGAUGCUGAAAUUAGCCAUCUUUCCUAGUUCUUCCACCUCUUUCGCUAAUACUUCCACUUUGUCCACUAUCUCCAUCAACAAAAACAUAAAACUUGCAAUGGCGAUACUUUCACCUGUAUCUAGUUCCUCUAGCUUUGGAGAUUUUAGGAGGCUUAAUUCCAUUCUCAGGGUCUGCAGCUUUGGCAACAUCAAGAUUGUUGCAUGGCACCUCUUCAUUUUAAUGAUGCUUUCACCCAGCUCUCUCAAAAUCUGCACAAGUUUUGAUCCAACAAUCUUGCAUGGCUCUUUAAGUUCUUGUCUUGUUGUCGAUGAUGGCUGUGGAAAAUUUGAGAUCAACUAUUUAAGUUGCACUAGAUAUGAAGAUAUCGUUCUGGACGGUGUAAAAGUUUAUAAUUGUUUAUAUAUAGAGUUAUGCCACUAUCAUUUCAGCGAUAAGGGAUUUGAGUAUCACUGACCUGUUUGGGAGAUUCAACACAUCCUUUCAAACAAAUAAUGGUCGCAGAAAGAUCUCUAAGAGCUUCUCCUAUGCGCAGAUACUUUUCCCAAGGAUAAUGAAAGCCAAAUUUUCCAUGCCUCGGUUCCCACUUUGCAAAAUUGGCCUGAAAUAGGUUGUAAACUAAUUCGUAAGCUAUAAGAGUUUUAUUUGUUAACACAUUUGGUGAAUAUUUCACUUCAUUGAUAUAUGUUACAACUUUUGCCUUUAUCAAUGUACAAAGGAGAUAAUUUGAAACAUGAAGCAGAAAAAAUUUGAAAUAUCUAUCAGAAUUAAUCACUGGAUAAUAUAUAAAUAAAUACCAGGGACUCUUCAGUUGAUUUUGAGUAUAAUGCUGACUUGCAACUGCCUACAUUAGCACUUGGCUGCUUUUCAUUCUCUCCAAUUAUCUUAAAGUAGUUCUCCAAGCAUCCUGGUUAUUGCAAAGUCAUCUCAAAUUACUCAGUGUUUGUCGUAAAGGAACUUCAGUCAAAUGGCUAAAAACGAGUUUUCCAAACUUGGAUGCUGUAGAUUCGUGUAGCUCAUCACUAGCCCACAUGGGAAAGAUCAGUAAGUUGGUGAAUAGGCAGACGAAGAAACCCAUACCAAUUGUAGAGAGUCGUUCACGGGCCAAUGCCAUGACUUUAUCAGCUCGAACACCAGACACAACCACCAGACUGAAGGAAUUAUUCAAAUUAUUCUGUGAUCUCUCAUAUUUAUGAGAGGUGGACACACAUGGAGCUCAAGUUUGAAGGAGACUUGGAUAUCAGGUACAAUAUUAUAUGGCAAAGGAUAAAUCUGCCAAACCAAUGAUGAUCAGUCAGAAAGUGAUGCCAUCACAAGGCUCUAAUGCGGUAUAUCAUGUUGGGCUACUAUCCAUGCCUAUGAUGAUUGACUAUAUUGAUGGCACACGCAUAGUGGGUAAUUAUCGGCUCUGAUGUGUCAUCAGUGUGAUUUUUAAAAGGAAUGCGUAUCAAUCAGAAAACAUUUCUUAUUCUGUUCUCACUAUCAGGUCAUGGAUAUGUUGAGAGGAAGUGAACGUAACAGAUGAAAUGACUGAGCAUGACCGAAUAAGUACACUAGUCGACUAAGACAGGACGGUUCACUAGAUGCAUCAUGGACCGAGUGCUUCGGAUUAAUGGCAAUGGAGGUGAGGUCUUGCAUUUUGCAGGAGACAAAUGAUAAGAUAUAAGUGGAGAGGCCACUGAGAAUGCAUAAGCAGGAUAUCUUAUGGUAAGAGUACAAUGAGACCUCUUUCGACUGAUGUGAUCACUUGUUUCCAUUACUUGUUGUCAGCCUCAUUUUUCAUUUCUCAGUUAGGUUCCUGUCUGAUGGCACUUCCCUUUGUUUUUCCAUAAAUUGCUAAUGCAUUGCAUGAUUAAGCUUUGAGGUUUUUUCAUCAACUAUAUUUGUGCAUACAGCAGUAUCUUAUCAUCUUUAAGUGCCUGCUAAUUGAGAUUAACAAGAGUA